This is a long non-coding RNA of Hyposmocoma kahamanoa, 301 nucleotides long. RefSeq lists it as uncharacterized. Lineage: Eukaryota; Metazoa; Arthropoda; Insecta; Lepidoptera; Cosmopterigidae. The transcript is spliced from 3 exons. The record is from RefSeq and is a predicted model, not a curated record.
AAAGGUCGAGUGUCUGGCUCCUGUCAGUAUACACGUGUCGAAAUUUAAAUUGUUACUUUCCGAGUGAAAUUGGUUGCCUUUUUUGUAUACUUUGUGGUGCUGUUGUUGUGUUUGUGAAGGCCUAAAAAACGUGCCAGUGAUGAAGCAUCUUCCUCCCAAACUACAUCGGAGCAACCUCCGAAACGUUCUUCAAACGCUCCUCCAAAUGCAUCUACCCAACAAACCUACAGCUUACCCGAAUUUGCUGACGGAUGGUGCAACCGAUCAUCGUCGUUUGAGUGAAUCUUGAUAAAUAUACCGU